Molecule: long non-coding RNA, 672 nt
Organism: Pseudophryne corroboree (corroboree frog)
Lineage: Eukaryota; Metazoa; Chordata; Amphibia; Anura; Myobatrachidae
Exons: 3
Source: RefSeq, a predicted model, not a curated record
GCUGCAGCUAGGGGGAGCUCCAGAGCACAGCUCCUCCCGGGCCCUUAGUAAGCCAGCCGAGGGAAGCUCAGAACUCUCUGCUCCUCCAUGCUCUGGAUGAUAGCCAAAGACAGCUGAAUCCCGCCCUGCCAGUUUUUGUGCGCCCUGCCGCCCCGCCGUUUGCUGCCUGCCGGACCCCUCCACGUCGGCCAGCCGUGCGCCGCCAGACCCGGCAGCUGAGGUGAUUGUGGUUCCCAUGUUGGCGGACUCUCCAAUAGUUGGAAUGGGGGCCUUGAGGACACAUUUGAUAUGCGUCGUUGAGGUGGUGACUCGUGUUGUCUGGUAUGCACAUCCGGCCUGUGUCUCUUGUGGGCCAUAUGUCUUUGCCUGCCAGAAUCCUCUGGACGCCUCCUUCUGGGAAUGAGCCAUUGUGUGGAUGGUCCUAUACACAAAAAAAAAUUAAUGUUGUGCCAAAUCAUUUGCACUCAUAAUAUGUCCAUAUAUUGUAACUUUACCUGCUUCACCAUCAUCAUCAUCUUGUGCCUGAGUGGUGGCAGGCCGCCCUGUUGUUGUUUUUUUGGACACUGUGAAGAUAUGAAAAGCGUGUUUGUUUUUUUAAUACUGUGUAAACAAAAUUUGAACAUCAUUAUUUUUUGUUUAUUGCUUAAGUAAAUACACAUUUAACAAAAUAAA